Long non-coding RNA from Daphnia carinata, 447 nucleotides. RefSeq lists it as uncharacterized. The record is from RefSeq and is a predicted model, not a curated record. Lineage: Eukaryota; Metazoa; Arthropoda; Branchiopoda; Diplostraca; Daphniidae. The transcript has 4 exons.
GUACCUGACUCAUUCCCGCAUUUUUCGCCGCCACUGUGGUCGAUGCAUUCGCCAGAGAUUGUUUGCCGCGAUUCUGACUAACUAACAAUCGUCUUUGUUAGAGACUUUUGUGCAGGUUUUGAAUGCGCGGACAAAUUUGACGAAGGUAGUUUUACUCAGUAAUUGUUGAUGGAAGUGGUCAAGCAGUGAGCUUCCUGCCCGGGAUGUUUCAGAAAUAGAACUGAAAGGCUGUCAGUGAUCGAUUGUGCUCUAGGGAAAUGUGUAUUUCAGAGUUUGUCGUCUUAAAACCAUGGCUUUGAAGAUAAUGAUUACAAAACAAGUGUCAUGAAGCUGGCCACUACUCGAAAGGCUGCCCGAAUCUGUUCAGUGAAUUGACGGAAGAUGGAAAGCCUCAUGAACAAUACAUUCUGGAAGCUGUGACAUACAAUGAAAAGGAAAUGUUUAAGG